AUACGGAGGGUCCGAGCGUUAUCCGGAAUCAUUGGGUUUAAAGGGUCCGUAGGCGGGAAUCUAAGUCAGUGGUGAAAUCUUGCAGCUCAACUGUAAAAUUGCCAUUGAUACUGGAUUUCUUGAAUUAGUGUGAAGUGGUUAGAAUGUGUAGUGUAGCGGUGAAAUGCAUAGAUAUUACACAGAAUACCCAUUGCGAAGGCAGAUAACUAACACUAUAUUGACGCUAAGGGACGAAAGCGUGGGGAGCGAACAGGAUUAGAAACCCCGGUAGUCC
This 274-nucleotide ribosomal RNA is filed under the name uncultured bacterium. Its description in RNAcentral is "partial 16S ribosomal RNA". It matches the Rfam family "Bacterial small subunit ribosomal RNA", at positions 523 to 796 of the family's 1533-position model. The record is from RNAcentral.